ACGAACGCUGGCGGCGUGCUUAACACAUGCAAGUCGCACGCUGAAGCUCAGCUUUUGUUGGGUGGAUGAGUGGCGAACGGGUGAGUAACACGUGAGUAACCUGCCUCCUUCUUUGGGAUAACGCCCGGAAGCGGGUGCUAAUACUGGAUAUUCACUGGUCUUCGCAUGGGGGUUGGUGGAAAGGGUUUUUCUGGUGGGGGAUGGGCUCGCGGCCUAUCAGCUUGUUGGUGGGGUGAUGGCCUACCAAGGCUUUGACGGGUAGCCGGCCUGAGAGGGUGACCGGUCACAUUGGGACUGAGAUACGGCCCAGACUCCUACGGGAGGCAGCAGUGGGGAAUAUUGCACAAUGGGCGCAAGCCUGAUGCAGCGACGCCGCGUGAGGGAUGGAGGCCUUCGGGUUGUGAACCUCUUUCGCUCAUGGUCAAGCCGCAACAAUGGUUGUGGUGAGGGUAGUGGGUAAAGAAGCGCCGGCUAACUACGUG
Molecule: ribosomal RNA, 482 nt
Filed under: uncultured bacterium
Lineage: Bacteria
Description: partial 16S ribosomal RNA
Rfam family: Bacterial small subunit ribosomal RNA
Source: RNAcentral